AUACGUAGGGGGCGAGCGUUGUCCGGAAUGAUUGGGCGUAAAGGGCGCGUAGGCGGCCUGUUAAGUCUGGAGUGAAAGUCCUGUUUUCAAGAUGGGAAUUGCUUUGGAUACUGAUGGGCUUGAGUGCAGGAGAGGUUAUCGGAAUUCCCGGUGUAGCGGUGAAAUGCGUAGAGAUCGGGAGGAACACCAGUGGCGAAGGCGGGUAACUGGACUGCAACUGACGCUGAGGCGCGAAAGUGUGGGGAGCAAACAGGAUUAGAUACCCUGGUAGUCCACACUGUAAACGAUGAAUGCUAGGUGUAGGGGGUAUCGACCCCUUCUGUGCCGCAGUCAACACAAUAAGCAUUCCGCCUGGGGAGUACGGCCGCAAGGUUGAAACUCAAAUGAAUUGGCGGGG
This 397-nucleotide ribosomal RNA is filed under the name uncultured bacterium. RNAcentral's name for it is "partial 16S ribosomal RNA". It matches the Rfam family "Bacterial small subunit ribosomal RNA", at positions 523 to 918 of the family's 1533-position model. The record is from RNAcentral.